Molecule: long non-coding RNA, 1278 nt
Filed under: Callithrix jacchus (white-tufted-ear marmoset)
Lineage: Eukaryota; Metazoa; Chordata; Mammalia; Primates; Cebidae
Description: lncRNA (ENSCJAG00000071389.1)
Source: RNAcentral
GCAUGAUCUGCACAUGUACCCCAGAACCUAUAGUACAAUAAAAAAAAUACAAAAAUUAACUGGGUGUGGUGGUGGGCACCUGUAAUCUCAGCUACUUGGGGGGCUGAGGCAAGAGAAUUUGCUGGAACCCAGGAGGCAGAGGUUACGGUGAGCCUAGAUCCUGCCAUGCACUCCAGCCCAUGCCAACAACAGCAAGUCUCCAUCUCAAAAACGAAAAAAAAAACAUAGUUUGUCUAUUUACCAGUUAAAGGAUUUUUUAAUUGUUUUCAGUUGUUAGCAAUUAUUAAUUAUACAUAAAGAUGCUAAAAUGCUCACAUAAAGGUUUUUGUGUAAAAAAAGUUUUCAUUUCUCUUAGGUGAAUACGAGGCAUGGGAUUGCUGGAUUGUAUGAUAAGUGUAUAUUAAACUAUGUAAUUUCAACAAUGGAGGCUGCUUCUGGCUCCUCAGCAUCGUUGAUGGUAACCAGUCCUACAAUUCUCAUUAGGUGGUUCUGUUACCCCACUAUUUCCCUUGGGGUCUGUUGUGCCAAGGACAGGAUUGGUUGGGUAAAGGGGUGUGGCACAAAUAACCCUCAGGAACACAGGCCACAGAGCUAAUGAAGGGCCCCAAGGAAAGAAAGACCUGCCCAUCAGCAAUGAAUUCUCUCCCCCCAUGCCACAGACCUGAGGGCAUGUGACCCAGGAAUGUGCAUCCAAAGAUAAUACUACCUUCAGAGAACUCUACUUAUAGUUCCAUUUCUCUAUUGACUGAACACGGCGCAUCCUUCAUCAUGAUUCGUCUUUCAUCACUCACCUAUGCCCACUUCAUGAGUAUGAAGAAGAAACAGAUCAGCAGAAGAGACGUUUCCAAUUCUCCACUUUUGCACACAUCAUAUGGGUUGUCAAGAUUCACAGAAGUUCCAUAAAUGAGAGUUCUACAAUUAACCUCCAAUACCUUGACGAAGUAUGCGGAAGUUUGUCGGAGCACAAGGUAGCAGAAGCUGACUUCAGUAAUCCUGGCCCUCCUGAGUGCUCACGACAGUGUCAUGAGGCAAGAAUGCCUGGAGAGAGCGAGGUCACAGAUGUAAGAAUGGCAGUGGGGGGGCGCCAUGUUUGGUCUCCUUGGGACAAUUGGUCUGAAUCCCCUGAUCACUAUGUAUUGUGAAAAUAGUGAUAAAAUAAAACAACAACAACAAAAUUCUUUUUCAUCCAUUUUAUUGCUGAACAGAUUAGACGUCCGCUAGGUCGCUUCACAUCUAAACGCUGUAAUUUCACGUGAGCCUACUUUCACCCUGCCGCAC